UACGAAGGGGGCUAGCGUUGCUCGGAAUCACUGGGCGUAAAGGGUGCGUAGGCGGGUCUUUAAGUCAGGGGUGAAAUCUUCGAGCUUAACUCGGAAACUGCCGUUGAUACUAUCUGUCUUGAAUGCUGUGGAGGUGAGCGGAGUAUGUCAUGUAGCGGUGAAAUGCUUAGAUAUGACAUAGAACACCAAUUGCGAAGGCAGCUCGCUACACAGUUAUUGACUCUGAGGCACGAAAGCGUGGGGAUCAAACAGG
RNAcentral lists this ribosomal RNA (253 nucleotides) under uncultured bacterium. RNAcentral's name for it is "partial 16S ribosomal RNA". It matches the Rfam family "Bacterial small subunit ribosomal RNA", at positions 524 to 776 of the family's 1533-position model. The record is from RNAcentral.